RNAcentral lists this long non-coding RNA (791 nucleotides) under Cyanistes caeruleus (blue tit). RNAcentral describes it as "lncRNA (ENSCCEG00000020408.1)". The record is from RNAcentral. Lineage: Eukaryota; Metazoa; Chordata; Aves; Passeriformes; Paridae.
GAACAAUAUUUUACUGAAAAAAACCCCUCCAAAACUGUUAAGAAACUGUUUAUCCACAAUGCUUUGGGCUCCCUCCCACCUCAGCCUAAAUAGACCUUUCCCCCUUUUAAAAUUUUAUGUCACCUAAGGCUGCUAGAUAUAGCUGGGCCAUGAAGUGCACAUUCUGAAAAGCUCCAUUCUAUUGCCUUUAUCUAAAAUCUUUGGAAAUUGUGAUGGACACAGAAUUUCAGAUCUGUGUCCUGCUUAAUGCAUACCAAGGAAAAGUGUCAUUUUCAUAGUUAUUCUCCAGGGAAACAUGGAUUUUUACUCCAGUCAACUCCCAGCUCAGUUAAUUACCUCAGUGGAUUGCAAUAGGAAUGAGUAAGUCUGAGGAGUAAGAGCUGAGGGCAUGAUGUCUCCUCUCCAUGUGUGCCAGAGGUAUUUACUCCAGAGAAGCUCUGACCUAGUCCCUUGGAUCAACCACCAUUUAGUGGCUGGAAGCAGGGUGUGUUCCUGGAGCAAAUCUUAUUUUACCUUCACCCAAAUGGGAUCAAGUUCAUGUUCUCCAAGACAUAUUUGUAAUGUGAAUGGAAGCUUGACAGCUGAGGAAGAUUAUGAUCUUCUGUGUCCAUCUGAAGGAUCAGAGAGGAUGGCUCCUGCAGAGGAGUGAAGUACCUGUGCAGAGGAAUGUGGACAAGCUCAUGCUGCUGCUGCUGCUGCUACCAUGGGAUUGCUAAGUGGAGGAAAAAAACUUCAGCCUUUCUUUUUGGUGCAAUGGAGUAAUACAUUCAAACACAACUUUUAAAGCAAGG